Molecule: ribosomal RNA, 809 nt
Filed under: uncultured archaeon
Lineage: Archaea
Description: bacterial SSU rRNA
Rfam family: Archaeal small subunit ribosomal RNA
Source: RNAcentral
ACUGCUCAGUAACACGUGGCUAAUCUGCCCUUAGGACGAGAACAACCCCGGGAAACAGGGGCUAACUCUUGAUAGGUGAAGAACUCUGGAAUGAGUCUUUGCCUAAAAAGAUUCACGUUAUCCUCGUGAACCUGCCUAAGGAUGAGGCCGCGACCGAUCAGGUUGUUGGCGAGGUAAUGGCUCACCAAGCCUUUUACCGGUGCGGGCCGUGGGAGCGGGAGCCCGGAGAUGGGUACUGAGACAAGGACCCAGGCCCUACGGGGCGCAGCAGUCGCGAAACCUUUGCAAUAAGCGAAAGCUUGACAGGGCUAUCCCGAGUGCCAUCCGCUGAGGAAGGCUUUUACCCAGUCUAGAACGCUGGGGGAAUAAGGAGAGGGCAAGUCUGGUGUCAGCCGCCGCGGUAAUACCAGCUCUCCGAGUGGUGUGGAUGUUUAUUGGGCCUAAAGCAUCCGUAGCUGGCUAAGUUAGUCCCUUGUUAAAUCCACCGAAUUAAUCGUUGGAUCGCGGGGGAUACUGCUUGGCUAGGGGACGAGAGAGGCAGACGGUAUUUUCGGGGUAGGGGUGAAAUCCUAUAAUCCCGGGAAGACCACCAGUGGCGAAGGCUGUCUGCUAGAACGCGCCCGACGGGGAGGGAUGAAAGCUGGGGGAGCGAACCGGAUUAGAUACCCGGGUAGUCCCAGCUGUAAACGAUGCAGACUAGGUGUUUGGACGGCCACGUGCCGUUCUAGUGCCGCAGGGAAGCUGUUAAGUCUGCCGCCUGGGGAGUACGAUCGCAAGAUUGAAACUUAAAGGAAUUGGCGGGGGAGCAC